UACCAAUCUACCUACCUACAUGCAUGCAUAUAUUUCAUAUAUAUAUACAUAUAUAAAUAUAUAUAAGGGUGUGUAUCUCCUUAAUCUUUUUUUCUUUUCUUUUCUCUCUCUUCUCUUUCAGACUUCAACCCCUCCUGCUAAUGCAUAAAUAUGUCUGUGCAAAGCUCCGCCCGUUUAACCAUGUACGCUGUGUCUAACACGUGUUUAUCAAGGCAGCAAAGCAUUCGCGGUGUUUUCCUCGCACCAUCAUCCGUAGAGCAGCCUUUAACGACGGCCUGAAUCGGUGGAAAUCAGACCAAAUCGGGUUGCCAGCAACGACGGACAAUGCGCCGAAGUCGUUUGAAACGAAACCUCGAUUUUAGCAGUCAAACACAGACGUCGGCUUUUUCGCUCUUCUCCGACAAGUCGAUAUUGCUUGACCAGACGGACAGGGCCGCAUACAUUUACAAGAACCCUUACAACACCAUAGCCAACAACAACAACAACAGCAACAGCUACUACUACUACUACUACUACUACUACUACUACUACUACUACUACUACUACUACUACUACUACUGCUGCAAAAUCCUCCGGUUGUCUGUUGACAUAUUAUUAACACUUGCUAAUUUCAUCUUUCUAACAGCGUUGAAAUUAUAUUGCAACACAAAAAGAAACUUUUUGCAGCCGCAAAUGUGUAUAUAUUUUUCAGUUUGAUGGCGUUAUUUUCUUUUCUGCUAUUUUUCUUUUUCCAAAAAGACAGCAAACAUGUAAAAUAGAAAGAAGACAAGAGCGAGAUAGAGAGAGAGAGAGAGAGAGAGAGAGAUACAUAGAGAGAGAAAGAAAGAAAGAAAGAAAGAGCGAGAGAGAGAGAGAGAAAGGGUAAACAAUAACAGCUGCUACAAAGCAGAAAGCAAACAGCAAAAAAAGAAAAUUAUAUAUAAAAAAAAAAGUAUGGAUAUUUUUAAAUUCAAAAUAUGGACAUUGAAAAUAUGCUUGGUUCAAGGUGCUUGAUUCGACGGUUUUUUUUUGUUUUUGUUUUUGGUUGGUCUUUUCUUCUUUUUUUUUAACCUCCCGGACAACGUGUUUUGUGAAACUUGUUUGUAGCGUCAAUCAAUGAAUGCUAUUAUACCCAAAUCGCUUUUAUUUCCUGGGCGAAUGAAAACAGAUUCGGAUAUAUCUGCAAUGCAAAUGAACAGCUGAAGAGAUAAAAAAGACAACUAAACAUAGCAGACUUACAGACAGACAAACAGACACACACACACACAUAUAUAUAUAUAUAUAUAUAUACACACACAUACACACAAGCACGCAUACACACACAUAUAUAUAUACAUAUAUAUAUGUUUGUUUUUAUGUUUAGUUAUUAUGAAAACGAUAAUCUGAAGGCUUACUCUCUACUUGCGUAGAGUACAAAUUUAUUAUUCUUAAAUAAGAAAGUCCGACGAUGGCUUAGCGGGCCGAAACUUCGAAGUCACUGUCAACAAUAUUCUUGUUUAAGAACAAUACAGAUGCAUGUGUGUGUGUGAAUGUGUUAGAGAGAGAGGGGGAGAGAGAGAGAGGGAGAGUGAGUGAGAGUGUGUGUGUGUGUGUGUGAGAGAGAGAGAGAGAGUGUGUGUGUGUAUGGGCGUGUGUGCAUGUGUGUGUGCAGAAAAAGGAGAGAAAAAAAUUGUGCAUAUACACAUGCAUUUAACUGGAGAUUCAGAAACGAGCUUUGUGAAGCCUGCAACAUCAUCAUCAUCGAGUUUAAUUUUAUUUUAUUCUAAAAUAUAAUUCUGCAGAACGACACGUAUUUAACGCACAUAAAAAAAUACACGGAUAUGUUGAGAAGCACGCACAGAGAGGUACAUUUUUAGUAGAUAUAUAUAAAUAUAUAUAUAUAUAUAAAGAGAGACAGAGACAGAGAGAGAGUGAUGAAGAUACAUAUGCACACACAUCAUUCGUAUACUGACGAAUUCUCAUCACAGAGGCGCAGAUACGAAUGCACAGGGCCAAAGAUAGACACAUUCGUUUGUAUACGACUGCAAGAUUUUUUUUUUUUUUACGAGACCAAUAGCUGUCAUCUGUAAUUUCGGAUUUUGCUACAACGCAAACGACUUAUAAACGAAUCAUUAUAUAAACCAACGAAGCGAAAAACAAUACCAGCAGCUAGAUAGAGCAACGGCAGCAGCUGCAGCAGCAGCAUUAGUUGUAGCAGUACUAGCAUUAGUAAUAGUAGAAGCAACAGCAGCAGCAGCAGCAGUAGUAGUAGUAGUAGUAGUAAUAGUAGAAAUAGUGGAAAUAGUAGCGGUAGUAGUGGUGGCAGCAGCAAUAACAACAAUUACACAAAGCACAAUCUCAUCUGCUCAGAAUCAACGGCAUUUUAACGAUGUCAACAAUAUUUGUAACAGCUCUGUGUAACAACAACAAUAACAACAACAACAACAACAACAACAACAACAACUACAACAACAACAGCAAAAGCAAUUCUGCAGAACAAACGGCUCGAAAAUGGAAUGAAGAAAUCGUGUGUCAAGAAAUAAUGUGUUGAUAAUGUUUGUUAUUCUGGCUCAUUUCAACAAACGUUUACCUAAAGGAAAACCAAACGGAAGAAUGAGAUCGUAAAAAAAAAAAACAAUUUAAAAAAAAAAGAACAAGAAAAAAGAAAAAAAGGUAAAAAGAAAAAGAAAAAAAAGAAAGAAAGCAAGCAAGCAACAACAGCAACAACACAAACAAAAUGAAAACAAAAAUAUCCUCGCACAUAUAAUAAUGUCUGAAGUGUUCCUUUUACAAUUUUUGCCUUGAUAAUAUAUUUUCUUCUUAUCGUCUGCCUUUUUUUUUUCCUUCAUCAAAUUCAUAGUUACUAGAUUUAAGAGUGAAGUUAUUUCUCUUCAUCACCUCUACUCUCUCCUCCUCCUCCUCUUCCUCUUCCUCCGCUUCACUACUACUACUACUACUACUACUACUACUACUACUACUUGUUGUUGUUGCUGCUGCUGCUGCUGCGCGAUGGUGUCUUCUGGAUUUUAAUGUAAAGCAUAUAUACACGUACGCACGCACGCACGCAUACAUACACACACACACAAACGACGGUUCUCACACACAGGCGAGAGAGAGAGAGAGAGAGAGCAUUCACACAUUUUCCACACAAAAGCCUGCCGUGUAUAACACAUACAAUCACUGUUGGAUUUAAAACGAGAACCGAGAACUGAUAUUUUUGCUAGACACAAGCGUUGGCUCUCGAUGGACCAGCCGACACCCAGGACUAAAAAUAAGAAUGACAAAACACAAAGGUUAUCGUUGUUGCUUUGCCCUUUAUUUUAUAUCUUCAAAUCCGCACAUUCGAUGAUUUCAUCCUUUAUUCAGACACAUUGAUUACAGAACAAAAUAACCCCACGUUUCACAGUUAGGGGUGAAUGGCUUUCAAAUAGAUUUACUAUCACAUACGUUUGCUAGUUUACAUUCUCCAUUCUAUUCUUACACGCUUUUUUUUCUGCAUUUCUCCUUUACUCCAUUUCUUCCUUCCUCGCUUUCAGUGAAUCAGUCAAUCGAUAUAUAUUUACCUAUCAAUCAAUCAAUCAGUCAAUCAAUCUAUCUCGCUUUCCUUUUCUCUUUUUUUUCUCUUUCUUUCUUUCUUUCUUUCUUUCUUUCUUUCUUUCUUUCUUUCUACAUUGUGUCCUUCCUCUCCGCUGACUCUCCCAUUCACACGCGGUUUUCUACUCACAAUUGCGUGUGUGUGCAUCACACAUUUGUAAUCGUCACAUGUGUUGUAGCUAAUAUAUGUAGAAUUCUUACGUAUGUACAGCAUUUUUGUGAGAACGCAUGGAUGCAUGUCUUCGUGUCGGUGCACAAGUCUGUCUCAUAAGACGAUCUCGCGGGCGGAUCGAAACCGAACCCAAUGCAUCGCCAGACCGUGGCACACAGCAACGGUAAGACGGUAGCAGCAGUUUGUCCCACAGACAAAUGUGUCGUUUGCGGCAUGGACAGCACAGAACGACCCCACAGCGGACACGAAACCUGUGCUCGUAUGCCACCGCAUCCACCACCAUCAUCAUCACCACAACCGCCAUUGACGGCGGCGGCGGCGGCGGCGGCGGUCACGAUGACGACGACGACGACGACGACAACGGCGGCGCCGACGGUAGCGGUGACCGCAGCGGCGGCGGCGGUGACGAUGGCGAUCACGUCCCUGAGCAAAGAUGCCGCCGGCGGCACGGUCGUUGCCGCGAUGUCUCCGCCGCCCGGCAAGUACCAUCACCAUCAUCAUCCUCACCACCACCAUCACCACCAUCAUCACCACCAUCACCAUCACAACCCCAACAAACUGCAAGUGCAAGCACACCAGCAACAACAACAACAACAACAACAGCUAACGACUCAGCCAUCACCCACUUCUCAACAACAACAACAACAACAGCAACAACAACAACAACAACAGCAACAACAACAAUUACAACAACUACAACAGCAACAACAGCAACAACAAAUGCAGUUACGUUCGCAGCCUUCGGCUCAAUUGGCUGUGCAAAGUCCCAAACCACAAGAUCAGCAACCACAGAAUGAGCCGAGCGAGCAAUAUCAACAACAACAACAACAACAACAACCAUACCAUCACCAUCACCACCACCCAUAUCAUCAACAACAACAGCAACAGCAACAACAACAACAACAUGCUCAAAAACCGGUGCAACAGCAUGAUCAACAAAAACAACAACAGCAGCAAACACAACAGCAACCACAACCACAACAGCAACAGCAAACGGUCGCCCGUAAAGACGAGGCAAAGACGCCGGAAAGCCAAGCCGGGAUUAUCUGUACCGACGGCAGCGGAAGCGGGGGGACGACGGACUCGAGCGGAGGCUGUGGGACCAACGGCGGAAACGGUGGCAGCAACGGGACCGGAACUGGAGGUGUUAGUAUCGGUAUCAUCGGAGGAGGAGGAGGCGGAGGAGGAGGAAUUGGGAUCGGCGGCGGCGGCGGCGGUUCGGUGGGCGACGGGAGCAGGUCGUGCGCCGGAGAUCCCCGCCAAGUGACAAGAUUUGAUUUCGGAGAUUUCUAUCCCGAUGGCGGAUGGGGUUGGGUGGUUGUGGCCGCCGUCACAGUCGUCAACAUCUUAUGCUAUGGUUUUCAUUUGGCAUACGGAAUGUUAUUCAUGGAAGCCAAGAAGAAAUUUGGAAACAGCCAAGAGUUAGGUAAGUU
RNAcentral lists this long non-coding RNA (5157 nucleotides) under Octopus vulgaris (common octopus). The record is from RNAcentral. Lineage: Eukaryota; Metazoa; Mollusca; Cephalopoda; Octopoda; Octopodidae.